RNAcentral lists this unclassified non-coding RNA (273 nucleotides) under uncultured fungus. RNAcentral describes it as "partial contains small subunit ribosomal RNA, internal transcribed spacer 1, and 5.8S ribosomal RNA". The stretch from base 1 to 73 matches the Rfam family "Eukaryotic small subunit ribosomal RNA", at positions 1759 to 1831 of the family's 1831-position model. Lineage: Eukaryota; Fungi. The record is from RNAcentral.
UCAAACUUGGUCAUUUAGAGGAAGUAAAAGUCGUAACAAGGUCUCCGUAGGUGAACCUGCGGAGGGAUCAUUACUGAGCGAGGGUGCAACCCACCCGACCUCCAACCCUUGUGUAUCAACCACUGUUGCCUCGGGGGCGACCCGCGUCUCGCGGCGCGGGGCCCCCGGUGGACCACUGUUCAAACCUGCAUCUUUGCGUCGGAUAUUGAUGAGAAAUAAAUCAAAACUUUCAACAACGGAUCUCUUGGUUCUGGCAUCGAUGAAGAACGCAGC